RNAcentral lists this ribosomal RNA (462 nucleotides) under uncultured bacterium. Its description in RNAcentral is "partial 16S ribosomal RNA". It matches the Rfam family "Bacterial small subunit ribosomal RNA", at positions 28 to 507 of the family's 1533-position model. The record is from RNAcentral.
GACGAACGCUGGCGGCGUGCUUAACACAUGCAAGUCGAACGGUGAAGCCCUUCGGGGUGGAUCAGUGGCGAACGGGUGAGUAACACGUGAGCAACCUGCCCCUGGCUCUGGGACAACCACUGGAAACGGUGGCUAAUACCGGAUACGACCCGCCUCGGCAUUGAGUGUGGGUGGAAAGUUUUUCGGCUGGGGAUGGGCUCGCGGCCUAUCAGCUUGUUGGUGAGGUGAAGGCUCACCAAGGCGACGACGGGUAGCCGGCCUGAGAGGGCGACCGGCCACACUGGGACUGAGACACGGCCCAGACUCCUACGGGAGGCAGCAGUGGGGAAUAUUGCACAAUGGGCGAAAGCCUGAUGCAGCGACGCCGCGUGAGGGAUGACGGCCUUCGGGUUGUAAACCUCUUUCAGCUCCGAAGAAGCGAAAGUGACGGUAGGAGCAGAAGAAGCACCGGCUAACUACGUG